UGAAAAGGAUGAAGUGGAUCCCCCCACUCUCUGGGUUUCCAGAAGUUCCCUGCAGAGAUUUAAUCCAACGCAGGAAGUUGAAUCAUUGCAAGAUACUAGAUAUGCCCACGGCAAACAUAAUACAUUACCACUAUAGUAGGUGAGGAAGGUAAUUGCUGCAAAACUUGAGCUAGCAAUUACAGAAGGCAAAAGAACACUUAGUUAAAUUCAGAAAGCGGGAAAAAAAAAAUCAACAUUAGCAACAAAUAUCAAAAGAUGCUAAUUGUGAGACUUUCUAGUCUGUUGUAGAACAGUUGAUGUUUGAACAGUUGUGGUGUGUCCCUAAUUACCUGUGACUUGAACAAUUAAAAAUUCAAGUUACAAUUGCCCAAAUCCACUCUUAGUACAAGAUUCAAGAGACACCAGUCCAAAACCCUGGUGACUAAACAGACAAGUGAUAUUUCACUGAAGAAAAUAAAAUGUUGCUGCACCUAUCAGGAUAUUCAGGGGACCAGAUAAUAGGCAUGAGGGUCCACACCCCACAGAUUCCACUCUCCACAAAGCCCCAACAUGCAGGUUUACUUGGACUGGGCUAGGUCAAAUCACCAGAUCUGAACCUAAGGGCAACCAACUUUUUUACUUGUAGUCAAGCACUCAGAAACACAAGUAUCUCAUACAAGAAACUAAAUACGAUAAUGAAGAGGAUGAGUUAUGCAGUUGCAGAUUGUACCGUCAGAUCUCCAAAAAGUUGUAUUAUAUCUUGUGUUAUACUUAAGAUACGUAUUCUGUGAGUGUAAUUGUUAUUUAGCUUUAACCUAUAAAGAAAAUGGCACCCUAAAUUCUAAUGCAUGAGCCUCUCACACAAUGGGGGUCAAAUAUACCCAACUUGUCCCCUACUUUAAAGAGAGGCUUAUCUUUAUGACUAAAACUUAUCAUCUCCAAGUCAUUAUGGAGCAACCUUAUUGAUGCACCAAGGUGCACAUUUUAAGAAGUGCGACAUGAGGCCUUGAGGUCACUUGUUAAGACUCUAUUUGGUAUUGUUGCUGAAAGUGUAGUUUAAAAAAGCACCUUCUUAAAUAUAUUAGUUAAAGGGUAUUAAAAAUUGAUUUAAAAUUAAAUCUGAUGUAUUUUAGUCAUGAUAGUAUCAAAAUACCAAAAUUACUUUCCAAACUUUUUUUCCAAUAGCAUGUAAAAUGUUUCUUUUCUGAAAAUCGCUUUUUGGAUCCUCAUUCUCAAUGCCAAAUGGGGCUUUAAACUGAGCCCUCACUCUGAAAAGGUAAGGAGAUUUCAAAAAAGCAUCUAGAUGUCGAAAGGUAAAGAAGCGAGGAGGGUGGAAAGGGGGAGUUCGUCUUCCUGGAGAACAUAAUAUGUCAUUUGUUGAUUCAUGUCAUUAAAAUAGAAUGCAUCACUGCCCGCAUGAUCUUCAUUGCUUCUUUAGUUAUGUUUACUUGAUUUUUUGUGCGGUAGUCAUAUGUGUUUUAUUUUUCAAGGCUUACCAUGAGGAUAAUCAGUGACUUUAUAAUAUCACCAAAAAAUUGAUGUUUAGUGUAAGAGUUGAAUAAGAACUAUUAUUUGAGUCAUGCUUUUGAUAGUUCCAUAUGUUAAAACGUUUUCAACUUCCUAAUGGUGUUAGUCAUAUGCAUUCUACUGCCUUUUGAGCAAGGCUUAAUAGGAACAUUAUGGAGCUUGAUUGAAGGCAGAUUUGAAUAAUUCAAAAUAUUUUGUCUUAACAAUUUUCUUACUGGGUUCAGGAUCGACCUUCAACCAAAGUCCACGCUGCCCCUGGUGGUGGAUCUUCUCUGGGGUACCUCUUUGGUGGUGGUAGUAACUGAGAUAUACCUAAAUCCCAUCCUGAUGGAAGUUCUGUUUUUUCAAUUCUUGUGGGAACCUUUAGUUUGGAUGAAGCAACGCAUUCAUCUAUAAUGCAAUUAAGCAAACUUGCUGGAUCAUGCGAUGUAAUAUAUAGAUGGUGGUGGUGUUUUGUUAAUUCAAUCAAAGAGCAUUUUAUAUGCAUGAACAUCUGUUACAAUCGUGUUCUCAGCAAUAUUUUGCUUUGCAGAGCGAUCUUGGCUCCUUGCGGUAGAUUGGCUUCCUUUUUGUGGAUUCAUGAUGAUGUUGGUUGGGGUUUUCGUUUGUUAGAAAAUUUUUUGUGACAAGAAUGGUGUGCUUAAAUUGAUAAUGGAGACGAGGAACUGAAUCUGAAAGAGCACAAGGCAGGUGAAUUGAAGGGUAAUUAAAUCGUAUGAAGAGUUAAAUACCAUUUGGGAGUCUGCCAUACUAUUCACGACAAGUGGCAAAUGUAAACAAUAGCUAGGCCUUGAUCUAGUAACGCUGGUAUUAGCGGUAGCUAAAGCGGGGGUGGGCCAUGGUCCGGGCUGGGCCUAGAACUGAAUCAGGACAGACUCGGUUAAUAUGAGGAUAGAAAGCGUCAAUGAUUUUUAGGCUCGAGCCCGGACUGAAAUCAUCACAAAGGGGGCUGGCCAUGGUUCUCCCCCAACCUUUGAAUUGCUUUGGAACCGUCAAUUUGAUUCAAUUUAGUUUAGAUUUUUUAAAAAAUUAAUUAUGUGGCG
RNAcentral lists this unclassified non-coding RNA (2549 nucleotides) under Hevea brasiliensis (rubber tree). The record is from RNAcentral. Lineage: Eukaryota; Viridiplantae; Streptophyta; Magnoliopsida; Malpighiales; Euphorbiaceae.